UUUAUACUGGGAUAAACCUACUUACGUUUAAGUAGCUGAAGGUACAGUAUGAAUAAGCACCGGCUAACUCCGUGCCAGCAGCCGCGGUAAUACGGAGGGUGCAAGCGUUAUCCGGAUUUAUUGGGUUUAAAGGGUCCGUAGGCGGACUCGUAAGUCAGUGGUGAAAUCUCAUAGCUUAACUAUGAAACUGCCAUUGAUACUGCGGGUCUUGAGUAAAGUAGAAGUGGCUGGAAUAAGUAGUGUAGCGGUGAAAUGCAUAGAUAUUACUUAGAACACCAAUUGCGAAGGCAGGUCACUAUGUUUUAACUGACGCUGAUGGACGAAAGCGUGGGGAGCGAACAGGAUUAGAUACCCUGGUAGUCCACGCCGUAAACGAUGCUAACUCGUUUUUGGGUUUUCGGAUUCAGAGACUAAGCGAAAGUGAUAAGUUAGCCACCUGGGGAGUACGUUCGCAAGAAUGAAACUCAAAGGAAUUGACGGGGGCCCGCACAAGCGGUGGAUUAUGUGGUUUAAUUCGAUGAUACGCGAGGAACCUUACCAAGGCUUAAAUGGGAAUUGACAGGUUUAGAAAUAGACUUUCCUUCGGGCAAUUUUCAAGGUGCUGCAUGGUUGUCGUCAGCUCGUGCCGUGAGGUGUUAGGUUAAGUCCUGCAACGAGCGCAACCCCUGUCACUAGUUGCCAUCAUUCAGUUGGGGACUCUAGUGAGACUGCCUACGCAAGUAGAGAGGAAGGUGGGGAUGACGUCAAAUCAUCACGGCCCUUACGCCUUGGGCCACACACGUAAUACAAUGGCCGGUACAGAGGGCAGCUACUAUGCGAAUAGAUGCGAAUCUCGAAAGCCGGUCUCAGUUCGGAUUGGAGUCUGCAACUCGACUCUAUGAAGCUGGAAUCGCUAGUAAUCGCGCAUCAGCCAUGGCGCGGUGAAUACGUUCCCGGGCCUUGUACACACCGCCCGUCAAGCCAUGGAAGUCUGGGGUACCUGAAGUCGGUGACCGUAACAGGAGC
Molecule: ribosomal RNA, 1005 nt
Filed under: Chryseobacterium aquaticum
Lineage: Bacteria; Pseudomonadati; Bacteroidota; Flavobacteriia; Flavobacteriales; Weeksellaceae
Description: bacterial SSU rRNA
Rfam family: Bacterial small subunit ribosomal RNA
Source: RNAcentral